CAGUAGCCGCGGGAAUACGUAGGGUGCGAGCGUUAAUCGGAAUUACUGGGCGUAAAGCGUGCGCAGGCGGUUAUAUAAGACAGAUGUGAAAUCCCCGGGCUCAACCUGGGACCUGCAUUUGUGACUGUAUAGCUAGAGUACGGUAGAGGGGGAUGGAACUCCGCGUGUAGCAGUGAAAUGCGUAGAUAUGCGGAGGAACACCGAUGGCGAAGGCAAUCCCCUGGACCUGUACUGACGCUCAUGCACGAAAGCGUGGGGAGCAAACAGGAUUAGAUACCCCUGUAGUCCCUGUCUCUUAUAC
Molecule: ribosomal RNA, 301 nt
Filed under: uncultured bacterium
Lineage: Bacteria
Description: partial 16S ribosomal RNA
Rfam family: Bacterial small subunit ribosomal RNA
Source: RNAcentral